AUUGAACGCUGGCGGCAUGCCUUACACAUGCAAGUCGAACGGCAGCACGGGUGCUUGCACCUGGUGGCGAGUGGCGAACGGGUGAGUAAUACAUCGGAACAUGUCCUGUAGUGGGGGAUAGCCCGGCGAAAGCCGGAUUAAUACCGCAUACGAUCUACGGAUGAAAGCGGGGGACCUUCGGGCCUCGCGCUAUAGGGUUGGCCGAUGGCUGAUUAGCUAGUUGGUGGGGUAAAGGCCUACCAAGGCGACGAUCAGUAGCUGGUCUGAGAGGACGACCAGCCACACUGGGACUGAGACACGGCCCAGACUCCUACGGGAGGCAGCAGUGGGGAGUUUUGGACAAUGGGCGAAAGCCUGAUCCAGCAAUGCCGCGUGUGUGAAGAAGGCCUUCGGGUUGUAAAGCACUUUUGUCCGGAAAGAAAUCCUUGGCCCUAAUACGGUCGGGGGAUGACGGUACCGGAAGAAUAAGCACCGGCUAACUACGUG
This 486-nucleotide ribosomal RNA is filed under the name uncultured bacterium. Its description in RNAcentral is "partial 16S ribosomal RNA". It matches the Rfam family "Bacterial small subunit ribosomal RNA", at positions 30 to 507 of the family's 1533-position model. The record is from RNAcentral.